RNAcentral lists this transfer RNA (74 nucleotides) under Patescibacteria group bacterium. Its description in RNAcentral is "tRNA-Trp". It matches the Rfam family "tRNA". From Rfam's summary of the family: Transfer RNA (tRNA) molecules are approximately 80 nucleotides in length. Their secondary structure includes four short double-helical elements and three loops (D, anti-codon, and T loops). Further hydrogen bonds mediate the characteristic L-shaped molecular structure. tRNAs have two regions of fundamental functional importance: the anti-codon, which is responsible for specific mRNA codon recognition, and the 3' end, to which the tRNAs corresponding amino acid is attached (by aminoacyl-tRNA synthetases). tRNAs cope with the degeneracy of the genetic code in two manners: having more than one tRNA (with a specific anti-codon) for a particular amino acid; and 'wobble' base-pairing, i.e. permitting non-standard base-pairing at the 3rd anti-codon position. The record is from RNAcentral.
GGGGGUUUAGUUUAGUGGUAAAACAUUAGCUUCCAAACCUAAAGUCCAGCGUUCGAUCCGUUGAACCCCCGCCA